GAUGAACGCUGACAGAAUGCUUAACACAUGCAAGUCAACUUGAAUUUGGGCUUUUAACUUAGGUUUGGGUGGCGGACGGGUGAGUAACGCGUAAAGAACUUGCCUCACAGCUAGGGACAACAUUUGGAAACGAAUGCUAAUACCUAAUAUUAUGAUAAUAGGGCAUCCUAUAAUUAUGAAAGCUAUAAGCGCUGUGAGAGAGCUUUGCGUCCCAUUAGCUAGUUGGAGAGGUAACGGCUCACCAAGGCGAUGAUGGGUAGCCGGCCUGAGAGGGUGAUCGGCCACAAGGGGACUGAGACACGGCCCUUACUCCUACGGGAGGCAGCAGUGGGGAAUAUUGGACAAUGGACCGAGAGUCUGAUCCAGCAAUUCUGUGUGCACGAUGAAGUUUUUCGGAAUGUAAAGUGCUUUCAGUUGGGAAGAAACAAAUGACGGUACCAACAGAAGAAGUGACGGCUAAAUACGUG
This 467-nucleotide ribosomal RNA is filed under the name uncultured bacterium. Its description in RNAcentral is "partial 16S ribosomal RNA". It matches the Rfam family "Bacterial small subunit ribosomal RNA", at positions 28 to 507 of the family's 1533-position model. The record is from RNAcentral.